Molecule: ribosomal RNA, 497 nt
Filed under: uncultured bacterium
Lineage: Bacteria
Description: partial 16S ribosomal RNA
Rfam family: Bacterial small subunit ribosomal RNA
Source: RNAcentral
GAUGAACGCUGGCGGCGUGCCUAACACAUGCAAGUCGAGCGAACAGACGAGGAGGUUGCUCCUCUGACGUUAGCGGCGGACGGGUGAGUAAAACGUGGAUAACCUACCUAUAAGACUGGGAUAACUUCGGGAGACCGGAGCUAAUACCGGAUAAUAUAUUCAACCGCAUGGUUCAAUAGUGAAAGACGGUUUUGCUGUCACUUAUAGAUGGAUCCGCGCCGCAUUAGCUAGUUGGUAAGGUAACGGCUUACCAAGGCAGCGAUGCGUAGCCGACCUGACAGGGGGAACGGCGCCACUGGGACUGAGACGCGGUACAGAGUCUGACGUGCGGCAGCAGUAGGGAAGCUUGCGCAAUGGGGGGAAGCUUGACGGAGCAGCGGCGCGUUAGUGAAGAAGCUCUGCGGGUCGGAUGACGGUGUUAUUGUGGAAGAACGCUUGCAGAAGGAGCGAUGCAUGUGUUGACGGUACCUACACAGGAAGCAACGGCUAACUACGUG